This is a non-coding RNA of Pelobates cultripes (western spadefoot toad), 420 nucleotides long. Lineage: Eukaryota; Metazoa; Chordata; Amphibia; Anura; Pelobatidae. The record is from the annotation of a GenBank genome assembly.
CAUGAAAGCCGGGUCAUUCGGUGCUUGCUCUGUUUGAGCGGUGAUAUUCCAAAUAGCUAUGCCAUGGAGCCCAUUCGUAUAAUGAAAAACUAUGGGAAAGACUUUGGCUCCAUGGCAAUUGAACUGUAUGUGUGUGGUCUGAGCCCCAUUCAGUAAUAAUGUGUGCUCAGACCUAAGCUAUCUGGGGAUAUGUUGCAUGUCUGUAUUUUAUGUAAUAAAUGUAACCUUGUAUGUUUUAUUGUAUUUUACUGUCUUUUUACUGCCAUGUGCUUAAUGGAGUUUUGCCUCUGUCCUUGGAGAUAAUUGGAUUACUUCCCAAUUAUCUCCAGGAUAGAAGACUCUGUGGAACUGGUUUUGGGCAGAAAAGCCAUGCUUCCUUUGGUCACAAAGGACUACGAUCUAUCUUUUGAACCACUGGAC